GUAUAUAUGAUAUUAUAUAUAUAUAUAUAUAUAAAGACAAAAAAACACUCUUGAAUAAGAUUUUUGGUUAUCCUUUUAUGAUGGACUGUAGCAUGAAACGUUACAUCACCAUACGAAAUGACGGUUGACUGGUUUGUUUGAUUUGCAUUGUAACACCCCCUUUUUUGCUUUUGUUUGUUAAAGUUUUACAGAACCUGGUCUUCCAUCUUUAAUUGAACAUCCCACAGUGGACUGUAACGGUGUGUUCAUGUUUGAGCCCUUCACACACACCGCUUUUGUCUGUUUUUUUUACAUAUAAAACAAAAAAAUGUUCCCAAUACAGUUACACGCUUUCAUGCACACAGCCACACCAGUUUCUUAUCCAAAUUUGAUCUAAACAAGUCUUCUUGAUCUGGUAAUAAGAAAUUCUGAAUAAGAAACUCUGCAAUAAGUGUGCAUGUAAACAAGUGUGUGAACAAAUGUGUGUGAGUUGUGCAUGACAGAACCACUGUGGGACGAGAAACAUCUGGAAUAUUGCAGCUCAUCUGGAUGGUAACGACUGGUGUUCAACAUCUCAUUAAGAAACCAGAAGACAGAAUCUAUAAUUGUAAAAGUUUCCACCGUAUGGCUUAUAUGUUAACCUGCUGUAAGCACUGAAGCAUUUGGCUUAUUUGUUUUGGCCUUUUUUAUUUCUUUAUUUGAUUUUUUUUGUCUCCUCAUAGGUGGAUUUUGUAGCUUGUGAAAUAUGAUGCUUAGAAGAAUUUUUAUGACUUCCUUUAGAAUUAAUUUUAGAAUGACAAGUAGUUCAAAGAAAAAGCUGAGGACAAAAGAUUAAAUGAAAAAACAAUCAAUGAAAAAGAAGCCCAGAGAUCCUGCAGCUGUGUACAUAUGGACAAAUGACUAAAAUAUUUGCUUUUUAUAUCAAUCACAAGCAAUGUAUAUAUGAUAGUUUUCAUAUAAAUUUUUAAAAAUC
Sinocyclocheilus grahami is the source of this 952-nucleotide long non-coding RNA. RefSeq lists it as uncharacterized. NCBI's taxonomy places the organism in Eukaryota, Metazoa, Chordata, Actinopteri, Cypriniformes, Cyprinidae. The transcript is spliced from 2 exons. The record is from RefSeq and is a predicted model, not a curated record.